GAUAAACGCUAGCGGCAGGCCUAACACAUGCAAGUCGAACGGUAACAGAAAGAGCUUGCUCUUUGCUGACGAGUGGCGCACGGGUGCGUAACGCGUAUGUAACCUACCUUUAACUGGGGAAUAGCUCAGAGAAAUCUGAAUUAAUACCCCAUAAUAAUUAUUUUUCGCAUGAUUAAUAAUUUAAAGCUUCGGUGGUUAUUGAUGGACAUGCGUGACAUUAGCUAGUUGGUAAGGUAAUGGCUUACCAAGGCUACGAUGUCUAGGGGGUCUGAGAGGAUGGUCCCCCACACUGGUACUGAGACACGGACCAGACUCCUACGGGAGGCAGCAGUGAGGAAUAUUGGUCAAUGGACGAAAGUCUGAACCAGCCAUGCCGCGUGCAGGAUGAAAGCCCUACGGGUUGUAAACUGCUUUUAUUUAGGAAGAAACCUUUCCACGUGUGGAAAGCUGACGGUACUAAACGAAUAAGCAUCGGCUAACUCCG
RNAcentral lists this ribosomal RNA (484 nucleotides) under uncultured Flavobacteriales bacterium. RNAcentral's name for it is "bacterial SSU rRNA". It matches the Rfam family "Bacterial small subunit ribosomal RNA", at positions 28 to 505 of the family's 1533-position model. The record is from RNAcentral. Lineage: Bacteria; Pseudomonadati; Bacteroidota; Flavobacteriia; Flavobacteriales.